CGGGGAAUAUUGCACAAUGGGGGAAACCCUGAUGCAGCGACGCCGCGUGAAGGAAGAAGUAUCUCGGUAUGUAAACUUCUAUCAGCAGGGAAGAAAAUGACGGUACCUGACUAAGAAGCCCCGGCUAACUACGUGCCAGCAGCCGCGGUAAUACGUAGGGGGCAAGCGUUAUCCGGAUUUACUGGGUUUAAAGGGAGCGUAGACGGCAUUGUAAGUCUGAUGUGAAAGGCGGGGGCUCAACUCCCGGACUGCAUUGGAAACUACAGAGCUUGAGUGCCGGAGGGGUAAGCGGAAUUCCUAGUGUAGCGGUGAAAUGCGUAGAUAUUAGGAGGAACACCAGUGGCGAAGGCGGCUUACUGGACGGUAACUGACGUUGAGGCUCGAAAGCGUGGGGAGCAAACAGGAUUAGAUACCCUGGUA
This 420-nucleotide ribosomal RNA is filed under the name uncultured bacterium. RNAcentral describes it as "bacterial SSU rRNA". It matches the Rfam family "Bacterial small subunit ribosomal RNA", at positions 355 to 792 of the family's 1533-position model. The record is from RNAcentral.